Non-coding RNA from Podarcis lilfordi (Lilford's wall lizard), 69 nucleotides. NCBI's taxonomy places the organism in Eukaryota, Metazoa, Chordata, Lepidosauria, Squamata, Lacertidae. The record is from the annotation of a GenBank genome assembly.
GCAGUAGCUCAUUGGCAGAACAUCUGCUCUGCAUGCAGGAGGCCCCGGGUUCGAGCCCCAGCAGCAUCU